This 278-nucleotide ribosomal RNA is filed under the name uncultured Christensenellaceae bacterium. RNAcentral's name for it is "partial 16S ribosomal RNA". It matches the Rfam family "Bacterial small subunit ribosomal RNA", at positions 511 to 788 of the family's 1533-position model. Lineage: Bacteria; Bacillati; Bacillota; Clostridia; Christensenellales; Christensenellaceae. The record is from RNAcentral.
GCAGCCGCGGUAAUACGUAGGGGGCGAGCGUUGUCCGGAAUGAUUGGGCGUAAAGGGCGCGUAGGCGGCCCGUUAAGUCUGGAGUGAAAGUCCCGCUUUCAAGGUGGGAAUUGCUUUGGAUACUGAUGGGCUUGAGUGCAGGAGAGGAAAGCGGAAUUACCGGUGUAGCGGUGAAAUGCGUAGAGAUCGGUAGGAACACCAGUGGCGAAGGCGGCUUUCUGGACUGAAACUGACGCUGAGGCGCGAAAGCGUGGGGAGCAAACAGGAUUAGAUACCCC